This is a long non-coding RNA of Brienomyrus brachyistius, 7259 nucleotides long. RefSeq lists it as uncharacterized. The transcript has 2 exons. The record is from RefSeq and is a predicted model, not a curated record. NCBI's taxonomy places the organism in Eukaryota, Metazoa, Chordata, Actinopteri, Osteoglossiformes, Mormyridae.
AGAUGCAUUUCUAACCCUGUCUGUCAGGAUUUUAUUCAGCGGAUGCAAUGUCAAAAUUCUGUGUGACCCAUAACAAAAUAUUUACACUUUUAUGUCUCCAGUAGGACGCCUCAUGUGCCUACAUGAUAAAAUGUUGAAAGUAACAGCAAGGUACAAGAAGAAAGAGAUGCUUUAGCUCUGUGACAAGGCUGAGUUAUUCAGACAUUAAUUUCACAAUGUUUCAGACCUAAAAUUUUAAUUGCAAAAACGCUACCUACUCUACUGGGAUGGCAUGUGGCUCAGUAGGCUAAGUCUCUGUGCCUGUGAUUGGAAGAUCACUGCUUCAAGAACAGUCACAUGUUCGUGGGCCCUGGCGCACGGCCCCUACCCCUCAGCUCCAGGGGUGCUGCACACUGGCUGACCCUGGGCUGUGACCCACCCAGCUAUGGAGAGCAAAGGAUCCCAAUGUACUUGUGCAAAUGACAAAGACUGAUUUAUUUAUAAAGGUUCAUCAGUGGUGAUUUAUCAGAACGCUAACCUCAUCAUGUCUGCGCAGAUCUCUAAAAGGUACGCCCCAAUUUGGAAAAGCCGGAUUAUUUAUGACAUUUGCCUUCAGCGCUUUAACCUGAAGGUUGCCGGUUCAAACUGUGGCAGCAGCAGCACCCUUGGUCAAGGGACAUGACUUCUCCAUUAUAAUAUCCAUCACAUCCCAACAAGAUCAGCAGACAAAACUAGAAUUUCCUAAGCAUUAAAAUAAGCCAUAAGAUACUAGCAGAAGGAUAGGCUACAUGUUCCUCCAAGACCCUGCAUAGGGUAAGCUGUUAGAUGACUAAUGGGUAGAUGAUAAUAUAAAGUGCCUAAAUGCAUCUCUUAGCCAGAAACACUAUAUGAUAGCAUUCAUAAAGAUCUGUAUGAAGAGCUAAACACACAAUGGCGGAAUAGACAGGUCAGGUAUGGUGAUUUUGAUGAUUCAGAUGAUAUUGGAUACAGGAGCCUGGAUCGAGCCAUUGGAUCCUAUGUGAGUCUGUUGGGAGGCAGCUGAUGUUCUGUGAGCGGAGUAAAGUGUUUCUGUAGAGCAGGUGGCAGCGCAGGGAGCCAUGCACUGCUUGACAUGCUUUCGGAGGUCAGCAGCAUCAAAGUGCAUCACUGCAGGCCUGGAGGGGGGGGGGGGGGGUCUGCAUACAGCCUCAGCUCAGCAACUGCAGUUACUGCAUCAGACAAACAUGCCCAGCUAUACAUUCUUGUAUAAAGACACUGAAAUAUCUACAUAUGCAGCACUGCCGACUCUCAUGCAUCUGACGUGACACUCAGGCCAUUAGACUCUCACACGGACGCAAGACAUCUUACGGCAAAUCUAUAUUAUUCCACUAAAAACCUAAAAUUAGCUGCAUCAAAAGUGUUGGAUAGUUUUCAAACCCUGCAGUCUAUUUACAAGGUAAUAACACUAUUACAUACAUGUGUACAUACAUGCCUGUGUAUGUGUAUGUAGACUUGUCUCGAAUUGAAAAUCUCACUCCAACCAGCUGGCAGUCCUGAAUGUUUUACAUGAGAGAGGGAUGUGAAAAACUAACCUUACGGUUACAAGAUUGUAUCUUCAGUUGCUAUGAGGACAUUUGUGCCCUUGGGUAAGGUGCCCAUUAGCUUAACUAUCAGAUGGGAAUCUGCUUCUUAAAAUAAUACACCUGAAUGAUAACUGUAUCGAACACUUUCAUAGUUUGUCAAAACUUGUAGUCCUGUGGAGCAAAUAUAAUUAAUCCUAACAAAUAAUAUAUAAGAUAAUAUAACUUAACAAAUAUUUAAUUUUGUUUGGCAAUCCAUUACAUAGCAAGUGUGGUUCUACCCAUUAUGGGGUGACCAAAAGAAUGAAAAGCAACAGUAAAUAAUACUUAUAUUUAAAUGUAUUUAUGAUGUUGAAUGUGGGUACUGCCAAGAUCCCUGCAUUGAUCCCCAAAUUGACCUAGAACCUGAGAUUUGAUUUCCGAAGCCUGAGAAAGCAUUGGGACACACUCUGCUGUUUUGAAUUUAAACCAAAUUGAAUGCCUAGUCGAGCAUCAGCUGGCAGUAAUGAUUACGUGGCUGCAUAUAUACAAAACAUCAAUAAUGCAUGGCUGGGGUGUGACACUUCACCCCUCAAAAUUCAGCGCUUCCUAACCUUCCUCUUUGAGGUUCCAGUGUUUAUGGUGCCUUAUACUGUAAGAACUUUGUACACAUAAUCGGUGCCGUGAGGAGUCACUCUGAGGACAGAGAAGAUCAUCAGUGGAAAAAUAUAUGUGGCAGGAAGCAGAGAGGAAUUGUUUUGUGUGCCAUCUUUUUUUUCACUCCCAAGGUGGGCUGUGUCCUGCGGAGGGAAGGACAGGCUGGUUCAGGGAGGCUCGCUUUUCACCAUUCUGCUCAAGUGAAUCUGACAGAUGCUCUGGACAAAACCGCAAAUAUACAGUCUUCUGUUAUGGAGCCAUGGAAAAAAAAUGACUGGUGGAACGCAAGAUAAAUCUGAAGUGUGAGACAAACAUUUACAGUUCUUUUUCCUGGAAGAACGCCAAGACUUUUGGCAAAAUAUGGCUGCAAAAAUGAACAAAUAAAUAAAUAAUCAAAUAGAGGGUGGUUGUUUUAAGUUUGAGGUAAAAACACUAAAAUGUAGAUGUUGCUGCUGAGACGUCUAGAUGCUACAGAGAAGCGAGCAGUGACAGACCUUCAGAACAGCUGGAAGGUGAUCUUGACCAGCUGUAAGGAUUAUUCUCGUGGAGCACCUUGGAAUUGGGGAACGAGUCCUUAACUGUGUAACACUAUAUUACAGAAGCUUAAGAGAGGCGAACAUAGCCCCAGGGUUACAAAGUGCUGUAGAAUAAAACGAGCAGAAGAAUAUCCCGCAACGAGAUUGGUAAUAGGUUCUCUUCAGAUUUCUGAGGGUGCACUGUGUUGGCAAAAGCCACUCUCCUAACCGUGGGCCACUAUGCUCGCCUGGCAGAUGUUUGGAAAGGGAGAAGAUGCGCAAAGAUGCCGAACUAAGCUAUCUGUCUUACAUCUCAGCGCUGAUUGGAUGCCAAAAAGUCAUUCCUGAUGGGGGAAGGAGAACAAAAAAGCACAUGUUUUUAUGAUAAUUAAAUCCUAGGACUGAUGAAAAGAGACAGGGAACCUUAGCGGGUGAAUAUGCGUGAAUAUGCGUGAAUAUGCGGGCCACGCGUCACUGCACAACUGCCCGUCGCACUGUCAGAUAUGGCUACGUCACAUGCUAAAGUUCUUUCUGUUUACCAUCGUUUAUCGUCAUUGUUGCUGUUUUUCUCGUCUUAUUUCUUGAUUAAAAUAUGGCUUGCGUAACUGCAAGCGGGCUGAUUGUUCUUGCUGUCACGGCAGGGUAAUGGAUUUACAUACCCUGCCCCCCUAAAGGAGUCACUUUGAUUUACCUGAGUUGUACAGCAGACCCAGAGGACAUUGAAAUUCCAGCAAACAGGCACCACGUAUAGCAGUCAUAAAUAAUAAAGGAAAUGUGUUUAACGGCUAAAUUGAAUUGGACUUUGCGUACUGGCGACAGUAUCAGCGGAUCUGUGAACCGCAUGAGAACAAGGAUUUAUUUUACACUAAUUAUCUUUUCUUCACAUGUCAUUAUCAAAAAGGUAAAAUUGUUUAAUUCUUUUUGUUGAAGUUCAAAGUUGGUUUUCAACUUAAAGAAACAAUAUUUUCAAUUCUACAAAGCUGAUCUAUAUACUGUAAUGAUAGUCAUUAUUACAAAAUCUGCAUAGCUGUGCGUGAUAAGUGGAAAGGAGCUGAAAUAUGAAUAAGUAUGUUGGUGCAGGACAGUUUUAUUAUUAUAUAAAACCAAUAUGUCAAGGCGGAUGGUAGAGUUUGAGGGCAGGAUGUCACCUUGAAAUACUAGGAAAAGGGUUUCUGUAUGGCUCUGGUUUUUAUUUCAGCCCUGGGGGGGCGGCGGGGGGUGGUGGAUGAGGCGGGCUGAAUCUGUCCAUAAUUCACUAGCACCGGUGUAAUUUAUUCCUAGGCUAAUUCGCAUCUUCCUGCACGAUUCCCGCAUCCUCAGGCAGAGCGAUAAUGUCGUGUAGCCUUUCGGAGCCCGAUUGGCUAUCGAGUGUCUUUGGGGCGUCCAACCCCAAUGGCCCAAACGAGGUCUGCAUUUAAAAAGCAGUGUAGAGAAAUAAAGAAGAAGCAAUCAAUUUCUCGAGGCCUUACUGGUUAUGCUCCUAAUCGAAUGGAUUAACAUACCCUUUCCCCUAAAACCACAUAUGAUAAUAUGUUGUUUGAUUACCAUCAGGCAAUGUCAUAUGUAUUCAAGGUGGGCUACUGUAUGCACCCUGAGCAGGAACUUAUCGCUUUCUCUUUUUAAAUUCACUUUCCAGCAUCACCAAGAUUUUUUUCCCAGUUUGUCUUGCCUGAGGACAAUAGAAUAUAGGGAGUCUGCAAAUCUUGCAAAAGACUGUUUAUGAUCUUACUGAAAACAUCUGCUGCAUAUAUUUCCAAUGGUCAUCUCUUAGUCAAUGUUCCGUAUUUUAAGGUAUUUCUACAUGGUGAUGUUAACACUGAACAUUAUAUAAAAUGCUAAAUGCAAAUGCCGCUUAACAAUAACAAUAAACAAACAAGGCAAACAGACAAACAGUCUGGCGUGUUAUCUUUCUACAAGAACAUAAGGGUGAUCCAGGUUUUGGGUGAAUUUCUAUUUAAGGAUUUCAAGUCACAUGAUAAACAGCCAUUUUGAAAGUCUUCGGUUCUCAUUACUUUGUAGUUUGUCUACUAGUUACCCAGAAACACGCGCUGUCUUUUGCUCCUCUUCACUGCCUGCAAAUAAUAAUGAUAAAAAUGAUCCCGUGUCUUUAUUACUUAUCUGAUCCUUGCUAUUACAGAUUACAGCUAUUGCAAUAAUUUAUUUUUCCCAAGGGGAUCACACACCACCCGGUGCAUACAGCAGUAAGGAGCUCUAACGCUAAUCACCGGAUCUUUUCAUAAAGGAAAAUGGCUGAUAUCACCGGUAAGUUUUCUUGUGGGUAAAAGCCAGCGUGCGGUGCAAGUGUCGGCGCCGGAGCGUGUGUCGAUUUGCCCGGACGGAAGUCGGAAGAGCGAGCGCAGACUCAUCCAUCAGGCUGUACAAAUGUCAGAGCGCGCGGAGACGCACCCAUCUCGCGCCGCCGUCCCCCUUACGGAUCAAGCUCGCCCGGCUUACGCGGCGUCACUGACAUUUACCCGUCCGGUUCAAUAAUUAUAUUCUUGCGCGUUUCUUCUCUCCUGACAAGCUCUUCACGCCGGAUCACAGUCGUUUGUAUCAAAUAAAAAACAUGACGAUGAAGAUGAUGAUGGUGAUGGGGGGUGGGCUAGCUGACAAUAUCCCCAGCAUUGUUUAGUAGGUAGAAGGCAGCACGGUGGAAUCAAAUUUGAAACUUUCUUAGGCAUGUAUGUCUACAUUUUACUGCAUUAUAUAUUAUUUCCCUUUGCAAGUUAUACAAAACCUUUAUGUUCCUCUGAGCUACAGGAACAUUUUAAGACAGCUGCAGAUUUAUGAUGGCCCAAUUUAAUUCAACAGUGCAAACACCAAAUUACAAACAGAAAUGUUCUUCACAGACACUGUCAGGUAGCAUAACUGAAACGCAGAAGGAGAGCUGUACUGGUUUGUCUUUGCAUAUUCUGAAUAGCUUAUAUCUAGCUAUGUGAACUGACAAAGUUAAAUUAUGUAAGUCAUUUUGUACAACAGUCCUUUUGCUAAUUAAUUUUUAUAGAUGCUCAAGAUUCCCAAGAUGGAUGCUGAGGGGCAGCUAUAAAAGUGCAACUUGUACCAGCCUCAGUGCGUUGAAAAACAAUAUAAAUCACGGCCAAAAAAAGAUUAUUACAGGCACCUGAUGUUGAAGUGCAUUAAGGGCUCAUUUCCAAGUCUGAGACUACAUCACGAUUUUAUUGUGGUCAUUACAGGUAGAGGACACCUGGAAUAGAUGCUGAUUGGCUGAAUUUUGGGCAGGGGAGGGAGAUUUUAAAUGUGAAAAAUGUGUUUUGGUGAUAAAGUCUGUUAAUAAUAAUGUAUGAUUUUGGUAUUAGUAUUGUACUGUAUUGUACUGACUGUUCUUGUAUUGUGGGAGAUGUGUUUAUUCCUCGGUGGGGAGGAUUGGGGGCCCUUUUUUGGGGUGGUGUUUGGCCCUGUGGGUUAGGACUCUGCCGGUCAUGAGUUGGCUGUUGGUUCAGAUCCUGUGAUGGACUGCUCCUCCUCGCUCAACUGUGCGUCACUUUGGAUAAGAGCAUUUGCUAAAUAAAUGCAAUAAAAUCUUGACGUUGCGGGGCCUGCGUUUGCUGCGUUACUUUGGCAUUAGUGUGUGCAUUCACGUUCAUGUUCACGUUCACGUUCACGUUCACGUUCAUGUUCACUUCACCUGUUCGCGUGCGUAUUAACAGCCGGCGGUUUCCGCUGAUCACUUCCUAUCCGCUCAUCUCGCCGUUCUUGCUGACUGACACAUUCUGUUGUUAAUGUUCUCCCAAAAUGGGCAGAAGUUCUGCUCCUUUCAUGUUCAUGUUCAUCUUAUCGAUGCAAUGGUAGCAGUUUCAUUCUAGGCCUGGGAGGUAAGUAGGCUUAGGACCCGGUUGGGGUUAAAGGUGCGGACUGGCGACGAUCCAGACGAGUCCUCAGGGAAUUCUGCUUCUGAGAAAAUGCUCUUUAUAAGUGUACAUCAUGUCAUUGAAGAAGCCAGCUGUGUAAAUGGGUAACGCUGUAAGAUAAAAGCGUCGUCCAAGCAAAUAACCAACAAUAAAUAAUUUACUGUCUACUUGAGUUCCCCUCAUCGGCCCACUUUUCUUCCAAAGCGGGAGCAGAAUCGCUUCUCAUCUCACUGUUGACAAUGCCGCCUUGCCCUACCCGUUGGGGGGGGGGGAUUGUCACCGCUAAGAAAGGUUUGGUGGCUCGUGAAUCUCCACUGUCAAAAGAUUCCGAAGAACACAGGCGGAGAGGGAUGCGGCGGUGGAGCAGCCACACGUGUGCAGGACGCUCCGGCCGGCCGGCCCUCUGUCCCUUCCUGCGCUUUGGAUGGGGACGCGGAGCCAAAGAUCUCGGUGAUCGUUCCGGAAAGCUCUCACAGAGCGAAACUGCUGUGUGCCUGUGCGCCUUCAUGCGGCUGUUAUUCUCAUGAAUAAUCAGUCGUGAAAGAAUUUACUGCAUUUUUAACAAUUGUAAUUACUCUGAUGUCAUGACAAUUUACCCAUGUUAUAUAUGUUUGUUUCUGAGCAGAUGUACCUGCAUGUAGGAUUAGUAACAGGUGGAACAAGCUGAAAUGCUGUAAUACAAAUAUAUUCAGACAAACCUA